CAAAUCUUUGCGAGUGUUGUGUGCGUAACUGCGCACAGCAUUUCACAACAUUAGCACAAGGUCGCGAGACCUUGAUGUUCACGCUUGUUUGUUUGACAGAGUUAGUUGAGAAAUAAUAAAGA
RNAcentral lists this unclassified non-coding RNA (122 nucleotides) under uncultured Agaricomycetes. RNAcentral describes it as "sequence contains ITS1". Lineage: Eukaryota; Fungi; Basidiomycota; Agaricomycetes. The record is from RNAcentral.